ACUGAUCACAGAAAUCAAAAGAAAUCAAUCUCUAGAUAAUUACCUGAAGGCUUCACAUCUACUCCUGGCACAUUCUCAACUUUGGGUGCUUUUGGCGCAUCAGCUCUCAUAAGAAUAUCCAUCAUGGCUUGUCUUGGCACCUCUGGGGGAUUUGUGCAACGAAUGAGUGCCCAAUUCACACUCUGAAAGAAUGGAUGUUGUUUUAUUUCAGUAGCUCCUCGCCUAUAGGCAAGACGAUGCUGUGGUUCUUUCACAAGUAAACCUCUGAUCAAGUCCCUAGCAGCAAAACCCACAGGAGGCGAUUCUGGAAAUCUUAAUGGAUGGCCAAUUACAUUAAACAGUGUAGCCCGAUUUCC
This 356-nucleotide unclassified non-coding RNA is filed under the name Hevea brasiliensis (rubber tree). The record is from RNAcentral. Lineage: Eukaryota; Viridiplantae; Streptophyta; Magnoliopsida; Malpighiales; Euphorbiaceae.